Molecule: ribosomal RNA, 253 nt
Filed under: uncultured bacterium
Lineage: Bacteria
Description: partial 16S ribosomal RNA
Rfam family: Bacterial small subunit ribosomal RNA
Source: RNAcentral
UACGUAGGGUGCGAGCGUUAAUCGGAAUUACUGGGCGUAAAGCGUGCGCAGGCGGUUCGUUGUGUCGGUGGUGAAAGCCCCGGGCUUAACCUGGGAAUGGCCAUGGAAACUGGCGAACUGGAGUGUGGCAGAGGGGGGUGGAAUUCCGCGUGUAGCAGUGAAAUGCGUAGAGAUGUGGAGGAACACCGAUGGCGAAGGCAGCCCCCUGGGUUAACACUGACGCUCAGGCACGAAAGCGUGGGGAGCAAACAGG